Long non-coding RNA from Cygnus olor (mute swan), 894 nucleotides. RefSeq lists it as uncharacterized. The transcript has 2 exons. Lineage: Eukaryota; Metazoa; Chordata; Aves; Anseriformes; Anatidae. The record is from RefSeq and is a predicted model, not a curated record.
GGGGCGGCCGCCAGCUCCUCCCGCCGCGACGCGGCCGUUGGCGACCGUUAACGGCCGCUGGCCGUGCGCGUGCCCGUGAGGCUGUCGCUGAGGAGGGGGUGACAGGAGGGCUCGCCCUCGGCGUCUGUGAAUCUCGUCUGGAAUGGGGGCGAUGGGUGGUGAAACCCGCCGUGCUGGACGGGCAGAGAGGGCAAAAGUGCUGUUUGCUGGUGUCUUACGUACAGUUACUGAGGUGUGAAUUGCUCCGCUGCUGGAAAUCAAAUUCAGGCUGCCGGCUUUCCCACAGGCUACAAGAGAUAGACAGCAGGCUGUGACUGAGGACACACUGCAGCAGAUGAGUUGCAAAGUUUCGAGGAAAGCUCUGUUCUUAGAAUAGAAUCACAGAAUCAUUAAAGUUGGAAAAGACCUCCAAGAUCAUCUGGUCCAACCAUCACCCUACCACCAAUGUCACCCACUAAACCAUGUCCUUAAGCAAAUGCAUAGCACAACUGCUCUGUAACAUACAGUCCUUUAUACACCCGUUUAAAUGUGUGUGUGGAAGAAGAAGGAUCAGAAGGUGUACUCUAACACCAGGAGAGGUAUGUGGCCUGCCAAGGUGCAGUGGCAGAGGAUACAUAGUUUAUCCCAUAACUACAUUUAACUUACUACACAGGUGAUAUACUGUUGAUGUUGUGGUGAACACUUAGUUAAUAAAAGUACAAAUAGUCAUGAUAAAUACAAAAUCAUAUUGUAAAAUGAAAAAAAUGUUUUGUUUUGUUUUUCAUUAGGCUGCUGAAGUGUAUGUCCUUGUAAUAGUGUACAUUGGCAGUGACCAAAAAAAGAAGCACUGAUAUCCAUCCAGCCAUAAAUUAUGUAAUUUAGCUGAGUGACAUUAAAUAUAAAUGGGUAAGAUCA